This 393-nucleotide ribosomal RNA is filed under the name uncultured bacterium. Its description in RNAcentral is "partial 16S ribosomal RNA". It matches the Rfam family "Bacterial small subunit ribosomal RNA", at positions 523 to 918 of the family's 1533-position model. The record is from RNAcentral.
AUACGGAGGAUGCGAGCGUUAUCCGGAUUUAUUGGGUUUAAAGGGUGCGUAGGCGGACGAUUAAGUCAGCUGUGAAAUGCCCGCGCUUAACGCGGGAAGUGCAGUUGAUACUGGUUGUCUGGAGUGCCGUUGCCGUGGGGGGAAUGUGUAGUGUAGCGGUGAAAUGCAUAGAUAUUACACAGAACGCCGAUUGUGAAGACACCUCACGAAGCGGUAACUGACGCUGAGGCACGAAAGCGUGGGGAUCGAACAGGAUUAGAUACCCUGGUAGUCCACGCAGUAAACGAUGAUGACUAACCGCCGGCGAGAGACUGUCGGUGGCCAAGCGAAAGCGAUAAGUCAUCCACCUGGGGAGUACGACCGCAAGGUUGAAACUCAAAUGAAUUGGCGGGG